UUGAACGCUGGCGGCAUGCUUUACACAUGCAAGUCGAACGGUAACAGGCCUUCGGGUGCUGACGAGUGGCGAACGGGUGAGUAAUGCAUCGGAACGUGCCCAAUCGUGGGGGAUAACGUAGCGAAAGUUACGCUAAUACCGCAUACGCCCUGAGGGGGAAAGCAGGGGAUCUUCGGACCUUGUGCGAAUGGAGCGGCCGAUGUCAGAUUAGCUAGUUGGUGGGGUAAAGGCCCACCAAGGCGACGAUCUGUAGCGGGUCUGAGAGGAUGAUCCGCCACACUGGGACUGAGACACGGCCCAGACUCCUACGGGAGGCAGCAGUGGGGAAUUUUGGACAAUGGGCGAAAGCCUGAUCCAGCCAUGCCGCGUGAGUGAAGAAGGCCUUCGGGUUGUAAAGCUCUUUCAGCCGGAAAGAAAUCGCGCAGGCUAAUACUCUGCGUGGAUGACGGUACCGGAAGAAGAAGCACCGGCUAACUACGU
RNAcentral lists this ribosomal RNA (480 nucleotides) under uncultured bacterium. RNAcentral's name for it is "bacterial SSU rRNA". It matches the Rfam family "Bacterial small subunit ribosomal RNA", at positions 30 to 506 of the family's 1533-position model. The record is from RNAcentral.